RNAcentral lists this long non-coding RNA (200 nucleotides) under Lathyrus oleraceus (garden pea). Its description in RNAcentral is "Pisum sativum (pea) long non-coding RNA (PSAT_LNC000944)". The record is from RNAcentral. Lineage: Eukaryota; Viridiplantae; Streptophyta; Magnoliopsida; Fabales; Fabaceae.
AAAAAGGGUGCUAAACACAAGGUUCAAGCUUAUAGAGGGGGGCUAAGUGGAAUUAGGCUUAGACAAAUUUAUAGCAAAGGGUUCAACAAGGGUUCCAGGUACAACUGGGCUUUCAUAAAAGAGGGGUUUCCAUACAUAUAUUGGGCUUUAAAGGCUUUCCAGACAGGAACUAGGCUUGGGGAAAAGACAAGUCAAACGAG